This 495-nucleotide ribosomal RNA is filed under the name uncultured bacterium. RNAcentral's name for it is "bacterial SSU rRNA". It matches the Rfam family "Bacterial small subunit ribosomal RNA", at positions 30 to 509 of the family's 1533-position model. The record is from RNAcentral.
AUUGAACGCUGGCGGUAUGCUUAACACAUGCAAGUCGAACGGUAACAGGAGAGAGCUUGCUCUUUUGCUGACGAGUGGCGGACGGGUGAGUAAUGCGUAGGAAUCUGCCUAGUAGUGGGGGACAACGUGUGGAAACGCACGCUAAUACCGCAUACGCCCUACGGGGGAAAGCGGGGGAUCUUCGGACCUCGCGCUAUUAGAUGAGCCUACGUUAGAUUAGCUAGUUGGUGGGGUAAAGGCCUACCAAGGCGACGAUCUAUAGCUGGUCUGAGAGGAUGAUCAGCCACACUGGGACUGAGACACGGCCCAGACUCCUACGGGAGGCAGCAGUGGGGAAUAUUGGACAAUGGGCGAAAGCCUGAUCCAGCAAUACCGCGUGUGUGAAGAAGGCCUGAGGGUUGUAAAGCACUUUCAAUUGUGAAGAAAUAUUUAAGGUUAAUAACCUUAAAUUUUAGUACGUUAACUUUAGUAAGAAGCACCGGCUAACUCCGUGCC